UCCCGGUUAGCUUAGUUUGUAGAACGCUCCACUGGAAAUGGAGAGGUCCCUCGUUCGAUACCAGGACCAGGCG
Ixodes scapularis (black-legged tick) is the source of this 73-nucleotide non-coding RNA. The record is from Rfam. Lineage: Eukaryota; Metazoa; Arthropoda; Arachnida; Ixodida; Ixodidae.